RNAcentral lists this ribosomal RNA (180 nucleotides) under uncultured bacterium. RNAcentral's name for it is "partial 16S ribosomal RNA". It matches the Rfam family "Bacterial small subunit ribosomal RNA", at positions 1321 to 1500 of the family's 1533-position model. The record is from RNAcentral.
UGAAGCUGGAAUCGCUAGUAAUCGCGAAUCAGAAUGUCGCGGUGAAUACGUUCCCGGGUCUUGUACACACCGCCCGUCACACCAUGGGAGCCGACAACGCCCGAAGUCAGUGACCUAACCGAGAGGGAGGAGCUGCCGAAGGCGGGGUUGGUAACUGGGGUGAAGUCGUAACAAGGUAUC